GACGAACGCUGGCGGCGUGCCUAAUACAUGCAAGUUGAGCGCUGAAGGUUGGUACUUGUACCAACUGGAUGAGCAGCGCACGGGUGAGUAACGCGUGGGGAAUCUGCCUUUGAGCGGGGGACAACAUUUGGAAACGAAUGCUAAUACCGCAUAAAAACUUUAAACACAAGUUUUAAGUUUGAAAGAUGCAAUUGCAUCACUCAAAGAUGAUCCCGCGUUGUAUUAGCUAGUUGGUGAGGUAAAGGCUCACCAAGGCGAUGAUACAUAGCCGACCUGAGAGGGUGAUCGGCCACAUUGGGACUGAGACACGGCCCAAACGCCUACGGGGGGCAGCAGUAGGGAAUCGUCGGCAAUGGACGAAAGUCUGACCGAGCAACGCCGCGGGAGUGAAGAAGGUUGUCGGAUCGUAAAACUCUGUUGGUAGGGAAGAACGUUGGUGAGAGUGGAAAGCUCAUCAAGUGACGGUAACUACGCAGAAAGGGACGGCUAACUACGUG
Molecule: ribosomal RNA, 497 nt
Filed under: uncultured bacterium
Lineage: Bacteria
Description: partial 16S ribosomal RNA
Rfam family: Bacterial small subunit ribosomal RNA
Source: RNAcentral